GAUGAACGCUGGCGGCGUGCUUAACACAUGCAAGUCGAACGGAAAGGCUCCUGCUUGCAGGGGUACUCGAGUGGCGAACGGGUGAGUAACACGUGGGUGAUCUGCCCUGCACUUCGGGAUAAGCCUGGGAAACUGGGUCUAAUACCGGAUAGGACGAUGGUUUGGAUGCCAUUGUGGAAAGUUUUUUCGGUGUGGGAUGAGCUCGCGGCCUAUCAGCUUGUUGGUGGGGUAAUGGCCUACCAAGGCGUCGACGGGUAGCCGGCCUGAGAGGGUGUACGGCCACAUUGGGACUGAGAUACGGCCCAGACUCCUACGGGAGGCAGCAGUGGGGAAUAUUGCACAAUGGGCGCAAGCCUGAUGCAGCAACGCCGCGUGGGGGAUGACGGCCUUCGGGUUGUAAACUCCUUUCGCUAGGGACGAAGCGCAAGUGACGGUACCUGGAGAAGAAGCACCGGCUAACUACGUG
Molecule: ribosomal RNA, 466 nt
Filed under: uncultured bacterium
Lineage: Bacteria
Description: partial 16S ribosomal RNA
Rfam family: Bacterial small subunit ribosomal RNA
Source: RNAcentral